Manihot esculenta (cassava) is the source of this 111-nucleotide small nucleolar RNA. RefSeq annotates it as small nucleolar RNA Z152/R70/R12. NCBI's taxonomy places the organism in Eukaryota, Viridiplantae, Streptophyta, Magnoliopsida, Malpighiales, Euphorbiaceae. The record is from RefSeq and is a predicted model, not a curated record. The transcript has a single exon.
GAUGCUGUGAUGAGGUUAAACACUAAUGUGUUUGAAGGGCAGUGGACGGGUGCCAUUUUCGGACUCGCCGUGAGCCCAUCUAAUUAACGACUUCUCCUUCCACUGAGCCCC